RNAcentral lists this ribosomal RNA (329 nucleotides) under uncultured bacterium. Its description in RNAcentral is "bacterial SSU rRNA". It matches the Rfam family "Bacterial small subunit ribosomal RNA", at positions 27 to 353 of the family's 1533-position model. The record is from RNAcentral.
GGACGAACGCUGGCGGCGUGCUUAACACAUGCAAGUCGAGCGGUAAGGCCCUUUCGGGGGUACACGAGCGGCGAACGGGUGAGUAACACGUGGGUGACCUGCCCUCAGCUCUGGGAUAACGCCUGGGAAACCGGGUCUAACUAACCGGAUAUGACUCCAUGACGCAUGUUGUGGGGUGGAAAGCCUUGUGCGGCUGAGGAUCGGGCCCGCGGCCUAUCAGCUUGUUGGUGGGGUGANGGCCUACCAAGGCGACGACGGGUAGCCGGCCUGAGAGGGCGACCGGCCACACUGGGACUGAGACACGGCCCAGACUCCUACGGGAGGCAGCA